GCGUAUCCAGGAUUUUGAGAUGAUGGGUGCACUAUUACGAACAGAUGGAUUAAGAAAUAAAUUUGAUCAGUUUAACAUUUAAGUUCUUAUCACUGAAAAUCAUUCAAAUUUUAAAAUUAUAGGUCAAAAAUUAUUUUUUAUCUCUCCAAACCACUUAGAGAGGUGUUACCCAAUUUUAGAAAGAAAAUAAAACAAGAUAAAUGAAAGAUUCAAAUUUCUAGCCUCAAAGGUGCACCCAAUCAUCAUCGCACAACAUUAUAUGAUACUUCAAGUGUGGGUUC
This 281-nucleotide long non-coding RNA is filed under the name Solanum tuberosum (potato). RNAcentral's name for it is "long non-coding RNA (STUB_LNC011640)". The record is from RNAcentral. Lineage: Eukaryota; Viridiplantae; Streptophyta; Magnoliopsida; Solanales; Solanaceae.